CCUACGGGUGGCAGCAGUGAGGAAUAUUGGUCAAUGGACGCAAGUCUGAACCAGCCAUGCCGCGUGCAGGAAGACGGCCCUAUGAGUUGUAAAAUGCUUUUGUACGAGGGUAAACGCAGACACGUGUACCUGUUUGAAAGUACUUUAUGAAUAAGGAUCGGCUAACUCCGUGCCAGCAGCCGCGGUAAUACGGAGGAUCCGAGCGUUAUCCGGAUUUAUUGGGUUUAAAGGGUGCGUAGGUGGUUGGAUAAGUUAGAGGUGAAAUUCUGAGGCUCAACUUCAGAAUUGCAAUUGAUACUGGUCGGCUAGAGAAUAGUUGCGGUAGGCGGAAUGUGUGGUGUAGCGGUGAAAUGCUUAGAGAUCAUACAGAACACCGAUUGCGAAGGCAGCUUACCAAGCUACGUCUGACAUUGAGGCACGAAAGCGUGGGGAGCAAACAGGAUUAGAUACCCCGGUAGUC
RNAcentral lists this ribosomal RNA (460 nucleotides) under uncultured bacterium. RNAcentral describes it as "partial 16S ribosomal RNA". It matches the Rfam family "Bacterial small subunit ribosomal RNA", at positions 338 to 795 of the family's 1533-position model. The record is from RNAcentral.